CACUUCUCUCACCGGUGUGGCAAAGCCAGCCCUCCUUCUCCGGCCUGUUCGCUGUUUUUACGGUUUACAGCAGUGGCUCCCAGCCCUGUUCCUGGAGAUCUGCCUUCCUGGAGGUUUUCACUGCCCUAAUUUGGCGCACGCGAUUCUGCUAAUUAGCAGCUCACGGCGUUCUCUAGCUCAGGGGUGGGCGAUUCUGGUCCUGGAGGGCUGCUGUGUGUGCAGGCUUUUGUUUCCACCAAUUACUCAGGCUAAAUGAGCUGAUUAUCUGUAUACGCCAACACUGGUUCACUCGCAGAUUAGAUCACAGUGAACCGUUUCAUGCAGGUCCACGAACGGUCUCCAGCUGUCACUCAUGCGCUCCUCAGCAAAUGAAGCUAAAAAUGUCAGUUGGCAUAAAUGUUCGGGCUGAUUGAGUAAUUAAGGCGGGAACUUGGCGUGAAAACCAGAAAUGGAUUCGGCCCUGGCUGCCCUUCUCUGCUCUAGCAGUUGAAUGAGGUGAGCUUUGUUAGGGUUGGAGUGAAAACCUACAGGAUGGUAGAUCUCUAGCUGUUGAAUGAGGAGUGCUUUGUUAGGGUUGUAGUGAAAACCUACAGGACGGUAGAUCUCUAGCUGUUGAAUGAGGUGUGCUUUGUUUGGGUUGGAGUGAAAACCUACAGGACGGUAGAUCUCUAGCAGUUGAGUGAGGUGUGCUUUGUUGGAGUGAAAUCCAAACAGGAUGGUAGAUCUCCAGGAACAGGGUCCAUUCAAAGUUAUCAGCACUGUCUCUGCAUCCAGUUCAGAUCUGGAGUAAAAAAAACUGCGUGUAAGGUUUGGAGAGGAGUCUAUCGGCACUGUGAUCCUAAAAUGAAAUUGGGUUUUAGCAGCCUAAGUCUGGGGUCUGCAACCCUGGUCUGGCAAAGCCACAGGCUCUGCUGGUUUUCAUUCUUCCUGUAAACUUAAUUAGACCGUUGAGCUGGUUGCUAUUUGUAUGGAAACGGUGCCCUCUACAGGUCAGAAAGUGUUAGUGGCGUACAGGGAGCUGAAGAACACUGCAAAAAGAAAAAAGUAAGUCAAUCAUAAUAAGCAUUUUAUUCUUAUAGUUAGACUAAAAAAUAAGAGAAAAAGAUUGCCAAUGAUGGUGAGAGUUUUACUCAUUCCAAGAUUUACCAAUGGCGGAAGAUAGUUGUACUUAUCAAAGAAAAGUCACUAAAA
Anguilla rostrata (American eel) is the source of this 1191-nucleotide long non-coding RNA. RefSeq lists it as uncharacterized. NCBI's taxonomy places the organism in Eukaryota, Metazoa, Chordata, Actinopteri, Anguilliformes, Anguillidae. The transcript is spliced from 2 exons. The record is from RefSeq and is a predicted model, not a curated record.